AACGAACGCUGGCGGCGUGGAUUAGGCAUGCAAGUCGUACGCGAAAGGUUCCUUCGGGGGCCGAGUAGAGUGGCGAACUGGUGAGUACAAGGUGAAUAACGUGCCUCGAAGUGGGGGAUAACUUCGCGAAAGCGGAGCUAAUACCGCAUGGUCUUUCUUAUAUAACAGUGAGAAAGUAAAGCAGCAAUGCGCUUUGAGAUCGGUUCACCUCCCAUUAGCUAGUUGGUGGGGUAAUGGCCCACCAAGGCUUCGAUGGGUAGCUGGUCUGAGAGGAUGGUCAGCCACACUGGGACUGAGAUACGGCCCAGACUCCUACGGGGGGCAGCAGUCUAGAGGCUUCGACAAUGCCCGAAAGGGUGAUCGAGCGACGCCGCGUGCGGGAUGAAGGCCUUCGGGUUGUAAACUGCUUUU
RNAcentral lists this ribosomal RNA (411 nucleotides) under uncultured bacterium. RNAcentral describes it as "bacterial SSU rRNA". It matches the Rfam family "Bacterial small subunit ribosomal RNA", at positions 29 to 437 of the family's 1533-position model. The record is from RNAcentral.